GUUUUAUACUUCAAUUUUUAGAAGAAAUGGUUUGCAACUAUUCAGUGGAUAUUUAUUCCUUUAACCA
Molecule: transfer RNA, 67 nt
Filed under: Galba pervia
Lineage: Eukaryota; Metazoa; Mollusca; Gastropoda; Lymnaeidae
Description: tRNA-Ala
Source: RNAcentral